GUAGCAGUAGCUCAGUGGCAGAGCUCCCGCCUCGAACGCGGCAAGACCUGGGUUCGAUUCCUGGCUGCUUUC
Transfer RNA from Toxocara canis (dog roundworm), 72 nucleotides. It matches the Rfam family "tRNA". From Rfam's summary of the family: Transfer RNA (tRNA) molecules are approximately 80 nucleotides in length. Their secondary structure includes four short double-helical elements and three loops (D, anti-codon, and T loops). Further hydrogen bonds mediate the characteristic L-shaped molecular structure. tRNAs have two regions of fundamental functional importance: the anti-codon, which is responsible for specific mRNA codon recognition, and the 3' end, to which the tRNAs corresponding amino acid is attached (by aminoacyl-tRNA synthetases). tRNAs cope with the degeneracy of the genetic code in two manners: having more than one tRNA (with a specific anti-codon) for a particular amino acid; and 'wobble' base-pairing, i.e. permitting non-standard base-pairing at the 3rd anti-codon position. The record is from Rfam. NCBI's taxonomy places the organism in Eukaryota, Metazoa, Nematoda, Chromadorea, Rhabditida, Toxocaridae.